GGGGAUAACUACUGGAAACGGUAGCUAAUACCGCAUAACGUCGCAAGACCAAAGAGGGGGACCUUCGGGCCUCUUGCCAUCGGAUGUGCCCAGAUGGGAUUAGCUUGUUGGUGGGGUAACGGCUCACCAAGGCGACGAUCCCUAGCUGGUCUGAGAGGAUGACCAGCCACACUGGAACUGAGACACGGUCCAGACUCCUACGGGAGGCAGCAGUGGGGAAUAUUGCACAAUGGGCGCAAGCCUGAUGCAGCCAUGCCGCGUGUAUGAAGAAGGCCUUCGGGUUGUAAAGUACUUUCAGCGGGGAGGAAGGGAGUAAAGUUAAUACCUUUGCUCAUUGACGUUACCCGCAGAAGAAGCACCGGCUAACUCCGUGCCAGCAGCCGCGGUAAUACGGAGGGUGCAAGCGUUAAUCGGAAUUACUGGGCGUAAAGCGCACGCAGGCGGUUUGAUAAGUCAGAUGUGAAAUCCCCGGGCUCAACCUGGGAACUGCAUCUGAUACUGGCAAGCUUGAGUCUCGUAGAGGGGGGUAGAAUUCCAGGUGUAGCGGGGAAAUGCGUAGAGAUCUGGAGGAAUACCGGUGGCGAAGGCGGCCCCCUGGACGAAGACUGACGCUCAGGUGCGAAAGCGCGGGGAGCAAACAGGAUUAGAUACCCUGGUAGUCCACGCCGUAAACGAUGUCGACUUGGAGGUUGUGCCCUUGAGGCGUGGCUUCCGGAG
Molecule: ribosomal RNA, 717 nt
Filed under: uncultured bacterium
Lineage: Bacteria
Description: bacterial SSU rRNA
Rfam family: Bacterial small subunit ribosomal RNA
Source: RNAcentral